RNAcentral lists this ribosomal RNA (254 nucleotides) under uncultured bacterium. Its description in RNAcentral is "partial 16S ribosomal RNA". It matches the Rfam family "Bacterial small subunit ribosomal RNA", at positions 524 to 776 of the family's 1533-position model. The record is from RNAcentral.
UACGUAGGGGCCUAGCGUUGUCCGGAUUUAUUGGGCGUAAAGAGCUCGUAGGCGGUUUGGUAAGUCGGGUGUGAAAUCUCCACGCUCAACGUGGAGGGGCCACCCGAUACUGCCAUGACUCGAGUCCGGUAGGGGAGUGUGGAAUUCCCGGUGUAGCGGUGAAAUGCGCAGAUAUCGGGAGGAACACCAAUGGCGAAGGCAGCUCGCUGGGACGUUACUGACGCUGAGACGCGAAAGCGUGGGGAGCAAACAGG